The submitters of this non-coding RNA (151 nucleotides) gave its source as unclassified sequences. The record is from Rfam.
UAUUUCGGAAAGAAUUGGACCUCGAGACCCAAAUCAGGAAGAAAAUGGACAGAAGAAGAAGGGUGAAAUAGUUAAUUUAAUUUAACAAAUUGUGAGCCGAAAAGGGUAUUGGCCACACAGUGAGAAACCCGCACUGGGCCCUUCAACUUCG